This 253-nucleotide ribosomal RNA is filed under the name uncultured bacterium. RNAcentral's name for it is "partial 16S ribosomal RNA". It matches the Rfam family "Bacterial small subunit ribosomal RNA", at positions 524 to 776 of the family's 1533-position model. The record is from RNAcentral.
UACGGAGGGUGCAAGCGUUAUCCGGAUUCACUGGGUUUAAAGGGUGCGUAGGUGGGCCUGUAAGUCAGUGGUGAAAUCUCCGGGCUUAACUUGGGAAUUGCGCUCGAAACUACUUGGCUCGAGUGUGGCAGAGGAAGGUGGAAUUCCAGGUGUAGCGGUGAAAUGCGUAGAGAUCUGGAGGAACACCGAUGGCGAAGGCAGCCUUCUGGGCCAACACUGACGCUCAUGCACGAAAGCGUGGGGAGCAAAAGGG